Molecule: unclassified non-coding RNA, 405 nt
Filed under: uncultured Vermispora
Lineage: Eukaryota; Fungi; Ascomycota; Orbiliomycetes; Orbiliales; Orbiliaceae
Description: sequence contains ITS2
Rfam family: 5.8S ribosomal RNA (bases 1-154)
Source: RNAcentral
AACUUUCGGCAAUGGAUCUCUUGGUUAUCGCAUCGAUGAAGAACGCAGCGAAACGCGAUAGGUAAUGUGAAUUGCAGAAUUCCGUGAAUCAUCGAAUCUUUGAACGCACAUUGCGCCUUCUGGUAUUCCGGUAGGCAUAUCCGUUUGAGCGUCAGCAAAAACCUCUCAGCAUUUAUUUUAUGUUGGUACUGGGCGCUGAGGCUGAGCUUUCCGGCUCGCCUCCGCUUUAAACCUGCUGCACGACCGCAAGCUAUUGCUAGGUUUUAUGAAGUUGGUGUUUACAUUUAUUCAUCAUCUAGUGUUGGGGAGCGGCGUUAAACCUGAUGUCCCGUCUGCGGACUGAAGUUUGACCUCAAAUCAGAUAAGGAUACCCGCUGAACUUAAGCAUAUCAAUAAGCGGAGGCU